GCCUGGCAUGGUGCCACAUGCCUGUAAUCCCAGCAGCUUGGGAGGCUGAGGCAGGAGGAUCGCAAGUUCAAACACAGUCUCAGCAACUUAGCAAGGCACUAUGUAACUCAGCAAGACCCGGUCUCUA
RNAcentral lists this small RNA (127 nucleotides) under Marmota monax (woodchuck). The record is from RNAcentral. Lineage: Eukaryota; Metazoa; Chordata; Mammalia; Rodentia; Sciuridae.